GGGGAUGUUUUGGUUUUGACAGCAUCGAUGCGGGACAGUAAGCACGUCGUGAGCCGGGGGCUUCUCACGUAAAUACCAGCUUCCGAAAAAUUAGUUGGCAACAACUCUUAUGCACUCGCUGCGUAGUUAGCUAAGCUCUCUACCUUAAUCCGGUCCGCCAAGGCUGCGGGCCCGACGAGUAUCCCUCCGGACUUUAGGCCGGUUAUGUCCGGGCCCAGGGGUAUCAUUCAAACCGGAUGCGUGAGGUAAUGUCCCUGAAUCCUCACUAAGACGUAGGGAAUAAGCUCUAAGUGGCCCGUCUUCCGGCAGCUUUCCGCCGACAACCAAAGGAAGAAUAAGCGUGUAGAAAGCUCUCUUGUGCGUUGUUUGGACGGCGGUUCGAGUCCGCCCAUCUCCACAA
This 400-nucleotide transfer-messenger RNA is filed under the name Bacteroidia bacterium. It matches the Rfam family "transfer-messenger RNA". Rfam says of the family: Bacterial tmRNA, also known as 10Sa RNA or SsrA, is named for its dual tRNA and mRNA-like properties. The record is from RNAcentral. Lineage: Bacteria; Pseudomonadati; Bacteroidota; Bacteroidia.